Long non-coding RNA from Melospiza melodia melodia, 300 nucleotides. RefSeq lists it as uncharacterized. The record is from RefSeq and is a predicted model, not a curated record. Lineage: Eukaryota; Metazoa; Chordata; Aves; Passeriformes; Passerellidae. The transcript has 3 exons.
GGCUAAAGUAAUACAGGCCUUGCACAGCCCCCUGCAAAGAUGAGCUUGGUUUAAUGGAGCACUCAAUCAGCAUUGGCUGUGUAUUAUCUAAAUACAGGAGUUCUGCAAAGGAGCCCACAGACUAAGGAUUUCAAAAGUCAUGACUGGAUUCUUCACACAUGUAGCAGAGGAAUCUCUUGUCAGCUCCAAGAGACACAAGGGCAAGCAGUUGGCAGCCAGAAGCUGAACUGUCAUGACCCUUGAAAUGAAGAAUGGCUGGAAAGACAGUGGCUGAAAUGAAGAGUGGCUGGCUGUAUUGGC